UACGUAGGGGGCAAGCGUUGUCCGGAUUUAUUGGGCGUAAAGAGCGUGUAGGCGGCUGGGUAGGUCUGCUGUGAAAACUCGAGGCUCAACCUCGAGACGUCGGCGGAAACCCUCCAGCUAGAGUCCGGAAGAGGAGAGUGGAAUUCCUGGUGUAGCGGUGAAAUGCGCAGAUAUCAGGAGGAACACCGGUGGCGAAAGCGCUCAUCUGGCCCGAUACUGACGCUGAUGCGCGAAAGCUAGGGGAGCGAACGGG
Molecule: ribosomal RNA, 253 nt
Filed under: uncultured bacterium
Lineage: Bacteria
Description: partial 16S ribosomal RNA
Rfam family: Bacterial small subunit ribosomal RNA
Source: RNAcentral